GUGAGACCACACACCCUUUCUGUGAGGCCACAACCACUUUCUGGCACACGCAUUUUCAGCAUGUGAAGGAUCUCAAAUUGAAGCUGUAACAUGUUGAUAGCCACAACGCGUCAGCUGGACGGGCCGGCGUGAUGUCACUUCCGGCGGGACCGGGAGGACGCGACCGGAAACCAGGCAACGCGGUUGGAGGCGGCGGGUGGGAGCGAUUUCACUCAGAUUUCUCAUUAUUCAUCUUGUACGGACACACCUUAUGUGGCAUCAUAUAAAUUUUUUUGACUGAGUAAUCUUAUGGACUUCGGUUCCUAUUAUGGAAGACAAUAUGGACAACAUCACAGAUGAAAAAUAAUAAAAAAGAAGAAAAAAGAUGAAAGAUCUUCUACUACUCAUAUACCUUUUUUGACAUAUUUGUGUAUGUAAUAACAGAGUGGUUGCCGAUUAUUGUCAUUAUUAUUUUUUCUGUUAAUCCUAAAAUGUUCAUUUCUGUGUACAUCAAUGGUAAGAUGUCAUUUAAUAACUUGUAUUUUUACAAUUUUUAUGCCUCGGGGAACAAGUACCGCUGGACAGAGCAUCCUUUUGUGUCCCUAGCAUAAUUCACUUUUAAACCUCAUGUGGAACGCACAAAUCGAGCGCUGGAACGCAAAUGACGUAAUCAUCUGGCAUCCGCUUCCGGGAAUAAAUCCCGUGUGGAACGCACAAAUUCAGUGUUGGAACGCAAAUGGCGUCAUCGCCUGGCGUCUGUUUCCGGGAGUAGGCCGUGGAACGCAUGUAUGCGCCGUGGAACGCAUACAUGCGCGAUAAGGAAACCAGUGGCGAGCGCUAUGCGCAGACGCCGUUUGGCUUGUGCACCUGGUAGUAGGGAACCGUUCCUACUGCUCUAUGUUCAUGAGGGAAUAAUUACUCUAGCCCACAUCCCUCUAGGUCUCUGUUUCCUGUCAGAUCGUAUAUUUCCCUUUUUAUAUUUGUUCAAAUCAUAGUUCUUAUACAAAAUGCUGGCCUGGGAAAGGUUUUCUCCUAAACCAGUACAUGUUAAAUUAUGUUUUUAGCUAUAUUGAGUGUAACUUAGCUCAUCAGUGUGAGGUCACUUCCUACACACUUUAUUGGCUGGUGCCCAGAUAAAUAGCAUGGGGCUGCACAGUGCCCACAUGUCUUGAGGAAGGCUCCUGUAGAGCCGAAACGCGUCGACAAUACUGGGCACUGUGCAACCUCGUUUAUUCUAAGAAGCUAACCUUUGAGGUAUUUCACAUUAUUUAAAUGCAUUUUAUGAAAUUUUGGACUUUUUAAGAUUUUUUAUUUUUUCAGUGCAAUUUAUGUUUUCAUUUGAGUUCCUU
Molecule: long non-coding RNA, 1328 nt
Organism: Pseudophryne corroboree (corroboree frog)
Lineage: Eukaryota; Metazoa; Chordata; Amphibia; Anura; Myobatrachidae
Exons: 3
Source: RefSeq, a predicted model, not a curated record